AACGCACAUUGCGCCCAUUAGUAUUCUAGUGGGCAUGCCUGUUCGAGCGUCAUUUCAACCCUUAAGCCCUCGUUGCUUAGCGUUGGGAGCCUACCGGGAAACUGCAGAGUUUUCCGGUAGCUCCUCGAAGACAGUGGCGGAGUCGGUCUCACACCCCAGACGUAGUAAACUUUUGUCUCGUCCGCGGUUGGGCCGGUCCCCUGCCGUAAACCCCCCCAAAUUUCUAAAGGUUGACCUCGGAUCAGGUAGGAAUACCCGCUGAACUUAA
Molecule: unclassified non-coding RNA, 268 nt
Filed under: uncultured Xylariaceae
Lineage: Eukaryota; Fungi; Ascomycota; Sordariomycetes; Xylariales; Xylariaceae
Description: sequence contains ITS2
Source: RNAcentral